UCGGGGAUCGUCUAAUGGUAGGACAACUGGUUUUGGUCCAGUCAAUUGGGGUUCGAUUCCCUAUCCCCGAGCCA
RNAcentral lists this transfer RNA (74 nucleotides) under Patescibacteria group bacterium. Its description in RNAcentral is "tRNA-Gln". It matches the Rfam family "tRNA". From Rfam's summary of the family: Transfer RNA (tRNA) molecules are approximately 80 nucleotides in length. Their secondary structure includes four short double-helical elements and three loops (D, anti-codon, and T loops). The record is from RNAcentral.